RNAcentral lists this ribosomal RNA (292 nucleotides) under uncultured bacterium. Its description in RNAcentral is "partial 16S ribosomal RNA". It matches the Rfam family "Bacterial small subunit ribosomal RNA", at positions 505 to 796 of the family's 1533-position model. The record is from RNAcentral.
GUGCCAGCAGCCGCGGUAAUACGUAGGCAGCGAGCGUUGUUCGGAGUUACUGGGCGUAAAGAGUGCGUAGGCGGUUUUCUAAGUUUGGUGUGAAAUCUCCCGGCUUAACUGGGAGGGUGCGCCGAAGACUGGAAGGCUUGAGUAUGGGAGAGGUAAGCGGAAUUCCUGGUGUAGCGGUGAAAUGCGUAGAUAUCAGGAGGAACACCUGCGGUGUAGACGGCUUACUGGACCAUCACUGACGCUGAGGCACGAAAGCGUGGGUAGCAAACAGGAUUAGAUACCCUGGUAGUCC